Molecule: small nuclear RNA, 83 nt
Filed under: Ursus maritimus (polar bear)
Lineage: Eukaryota; Metazoa; Chordata; Mammalia; Carnivora; Ursidae
Description: U4 spliceosomal RNA (ENSUMAG00000007833.1)
Rfam family: U4 spliceosomal RNA
About the family: U4 small nuclear RNA (U4 snRNA) is a component of the major U2-dependent spliceosome. The structure of U4 snRNA from yeast and human has been reported.
Source: RNAcentral
AGCUCAGUGCAGUGGCAGUAUCAUAGCCAAUGAGGUUUAUCCGAGGCAUGAUUAUUGCUAAUUAAAAUAUUAGCUUUAACAAU